This is a long non-coding RNA of Dermacentor albipictus, 821 nucleotides long. RefSeq lists it as uncharacterized. The record is from RefSeq and is a predicted model, not a curated record. NCBI's taxonomy places the organism in Eukaryota, Metazoa, Arthropoda, Arachnida, Ixodida, Ixodidae.
UUACAGGCCCUGUGUUCAAAGCUUCAUUUGGAUUUUAACCAGCAAUUGUGCGGGCCGUGUUCUGCCUGAACUUUAAAUUUCCCGCGCCUGCUGGUUAUCAAGAAGAAAAUCGUCUUGCAACACAUCGUUUAUCAACGACGAAACGCUACAUAGCAGCGGAUCUGUGCUUCACAUCGGGCGCGUACCGUCACACACGCAGCUAGCGUUUUGGCAGCGGCAACAGUGUAGGCAGCACGUCUGACCGUUCUUCUUGCACAUUACAGGCCCUGUGUUCAUAGCUUCAUUUGGAUUUUAACCAGCAACUGUGCCGGCUGCGUUCUGCCUAAACUUUGAAUUUCCCGCGCCUGCUGGUUAUCAAGAAGCAAACCUUCUUGCAACGCGCCGUUUAUCAACGACGAACAGCGACGCAGCGGCGGAUCUGUGCUUCACAUCGCGGGCGGACCGUCAGACACGCAGCUCGCAUUUUGGCAGCGGCAACAGUGCAGGCAGCACGUCUGAUCGUUCUUCUUGCACAUUACAGAUCACCAAGGUCAGCGCAUCAUCAAAAUGCUGUUCUGCUCCGUACCCUUCCUUCUUGGGUUCGUGGUCGGUUUCCUGGCCUUCUGCUACACAACAGCGGAGGAAACACAGCUGCCGCAUCUCCGAGUCCGUCGAAGUGGUGGCUGCCCAAACACGCUCAACUGCCUCCAGAGCUGCCAGAACAGCGGCCGCAAAACAGGAGACUGCGUGGGACGCAAUCGCUUAUCCUGCGCAUGCAGUUAGAGAGCGACACUCGCCAACAAACUUAAAUAAAGCCAUAACCUGUGCUUGCUGUGCGCGGC